UUCUUCGUGGUGUAGUGGUCAGCACGCUCGACGCGUAACCGAGAGGUCCGUGGUUCGAUUCCCGGCUAGGGCA
This 73-nucleotide transfer RNA is filed under the name Stegodyphus mimosarum. It matches the Rfam family "tRNA". Rfam says of the family: Transfer RNA (tRNA) molecules are approximately 80 nucleotides in length. Their secondary structure includes four short double-helical elements and three loops (D, anti-codon, and T loops). The record is from Rfam by way of RNAcentral. Lineage: Eukaryota; Metazoa; Arthropoda; Arachnida; Araneae; Eresidae.